This 496-nucleotide ribosomal RNA is filed under the name uncultured bacterium. Its description in RNAcentral is "partial 16S ribosomal RNA". It matches the Rfam family "Bacterial small subunit ribosomal RNA", at positions 29 to 507 of the family's 1533-position model. The record is from RNAcentral.
AUGAACGCUGGUGGCGUGCCUAAUACAUGCAAGUCGAGCGAACAGACGAGGAGCUUGCUCCUCUGACGUUAGCGGCGGACGGGUGAGUAACACGUGGAUAACCUACCUAUAAGACUGGGAUAACUUCGGGAAACCGGAGCUAAUACCGGAUAAUAUAUUGAACCGCAUGGUUCAAUAGUGAAAGACGGUUUUGCUGUCACUUAUAGAUGGAUCCGCGCCGCAUUAGCUAGUUGGUAAGGUAACGGCUUACCAAGGCAACGAUGCGUAGCCGACCUGAGAGGGUGAUCGGCCACACUGGAACUGAGACACGGUCCAGACUCCUACGGGAGGCAGCAGUAGGGAAUCUUCCGCAAUGGGCGAAAGCCUGACGGAGCAACGCCGCGUGAGUGAUGAAGGUCUUCGGAUCGUAAAACUCUGUUAUUAGGGAAGAACAAAUGUGUAAGUAACUAUGCACGUCUUGACGGUACCUAAUCAGAAAGCCACGGCUAACUACGUG